UACGGGAGGCAGCAGUGGGGAAUAUUGCACAAUGGGCGCAAGCCUGAUGCAGCCAUGCCGCGUGUAUGAAAAAGGCCUUCGGGUUGUAAAGUACUUUCAGUCGUGAGGAAGGUGUUAAGGUUAAUAACCUUAGCAAUUGACGUUAGCGACAGAAGAAGCACCGGCUAACUCCGUGCCAGCAGCCGCGGUAAUACGGAGGGUGCGAGCGUUAAUCGGAAUUACUGGGCGUAAAGGGCACGCAGGCGGUUAAUUAAGUUGGAUGUGAAUCCCCGGGCUUAACCUGGGAAUGGCAUUCAAGACUGGUUAGCUAGAGUCUUGUAGAGGGGGUAGAAUUCCAUGUGUAGCGGUGAAUGCGUAGAGAUGUGGAGGAAUCCGGUGGCGAAGGCGGCCCCUGGACAAAGACUGACGCUCAUGUGCGAAAGCGUGGGGAGCAAACGAGGAUUAGAUACC
This 450-nucleotide ribosomal RNA is filed under the name uncultured bacterium. Its description in RNAcentral is "bacterial SSU rRNA". It matches the Rfam family "Bacterial small subunit ribosomal RNA", at positions 340 to 786 of the family's 1533-position model. The record is from RNAcentral.